Molecule: ribosomal RNA, 252 nt
Filed under: uncultured prokaryote
Description: partial 16S rRNA
Rfam family: Archaeal small subunit ribosomal RNA
Source: RNAcentral
AUCGGCGGCUCGAGUGGUGGCCACUAUUACUGGGCUUAAAGCGUUCGUAGCUGGCUUGUUAAGUCUCUGGGGAAAUCUUCCGGCUCAACCGGAAGGCGUCUUAGGGAUACUGGCAGGCUAGAGGUCGGGAGAGGUUAGGGGUACUCCCAGGGGAGGGGUGAAAUCCUGUAAUCCUGGGAGGACCACCUGUGGCGAAGGCGGCUAACCGGAACGGCACUGACGGUGAGUAACGAAAGCUAGGGGCGCAAACCG